Molecule: ribosomal RNA, 425 nt
Filed under: uncultured bacterium
Lineage: Bacteria
Description: partial 16S ribosomal RNA
Rfam family: Bacterial small subunit ribosomal RNA
Source: RNAcentral
GUGGGGAAUCUUGCGCAAUGGGCGAAAGCCUGACGCAGCCAUGCCGCGUGGAUGAUGAAGGUCUUAGGAUUGUAAAAUCCUUUCACCGGUGAAGAUAAUGACUGUAGCCGGAGAAGAAGCCCCGGCUAACUUCGUGCCAGCAGCCGCGGUAAUACGAAGGGGGCUAGCGUUGCUCGGAUUUACUGGGCGUAAAGGGCGCGUAGGCGGACAUUUAAGUCAGGGGUGAAAUCCCGGGGCUCAACCUCGGAACUGCCUUUGAUACUGGGUGUCUGGAGUAUGAGAGAGGUGUGUGGAACUCCGAGUGUAGAGGUGAAAUUCGUAGAUAUUCGGAAGAACACCAGUGGCGAAGGCGACACACUGGCUCAUUACUGACGCUGAGGCGCGAAAGCGUGGGGAGCAAACAGGAUUAGAUACCCCGGUAGUCC